GUGUCAGCCGCCGCGGUAAUACGGAGGAUCCAAGCGUUAUCCGGAAUCAUUGGGUUUAAAGGGUCCGUAGGCGGUCUAAUAAGUCAGUGGUGAAAGCCCAUCGCUCAACGAUGGAACGGCCAUUGAUACUGUUAGACUUGAAUUACUGGGAAGUAACUAAAAUAUGUAGUGUAGCGGUGAAAUGCUUAGAUAUUACAUGGAAUACCAAUUGCGAAGGCAGGUUACUACCAGUGGAUUGACGCUGAUGGACGAAAGCGUGGGGAGCGAACAGGAUUAGAAACCCUUGUAGUCC
This 292-nucleotide ribosomal RNA is filed under the name uncultured Flavobacterium sp. RNAcentral's name for it is "partial 16S ribosomal RNA". It matches the Rfam family "Bacterial small subunit ribosomal RNA", at positions 505 to 796 of the family's 1533-position model. Lineage: Bacteria; Pseudomonadati; Bacteroidota; Flavobacteriia; Flavobacteriales; Flavobacteriaceae. The record is from RNAcentral.